RNAcentral lists this long non-coding RNA (349 nucleotides) under Bos taurus (domestic cattle). RNAcentral describes it as "long non-coding RNA NONBTAT024524". The record is from RNAcentral. Lineage: Eukaryota; Metazoa; Chordata; Mammalia; Artiodactyla; Bovidae.
AUUUGUUUCAUUGUUUGACUAGUUAAGGGGCUGAAUGGACUAAAGAAAAGUUUUAUAGCAGUGCUUUUAAAUUCAUUGAGAAUUUUAAUAGGUAGUCACCUUUUCAGAUAUGUAGACCUUGAUUAAAAAAUGGACCACUUUGAAAAUUGACAUGGAAGAUGGUGAAGUUAAAUAACUUGUUAAAAAUUUUUAUUUUCCUGUUGUGUUUUUCUUUAGUGUUAAAAUUAGGCUCUCUUUAUUAUAUCAAAUAAUACUUCUAUAUUUUUAGAAAUUUGCUUUGGUUUUUACACAUAUGUCUAAAAAUAUGAUCAAUUUGUUGUGAAUAUGUAAUUAUUGUUUGGGAGGCGCA